RNAcentral lists this long non-coding RNA (475 nucleotides) under Homo sapiens (human). RNAcentral describes it as "HSALNT0127099". Lineage: Eukaryota; Metazoa; Chordata; Mammalia; Primates; Hominidae. The record is from RNAcentral.
GGUGUGAAGAAAAAAAUGACACUCCAAUGGGCUGCAGUGGCAACCUUUCUUUAUGCCGAAAUAGGACUCAUUUUAAUCUUCUGCCUACCUUUUAUUCCUCCUCAGAGAUGGCAGAAGAUUUUUUCAUUUAAUGUCUGGGGUAAAAUUGCAACUUUUUGGAACAAGGCUUUCCUUACCAUUAUCAUCCUAUUGAUUGUUCUAUUUCUAGAUGCUGUGAGAGAAGUAAGGAAAUAUUCCUCAGUUCAUACCAUUGAGAAGAGCUCCACCAGCAGACCUGAUGCCUAUGAACACACACAGAUGAAACUUUUUAGGUCUCAAAGAAAUCUUUACAUUUCUGGAUUUUCCCUAUUUUUUUGGCUAGUUUUGAGACGUCUGGUUACGCUUAUUACUCAACUGGCAAAAGAACUGUCAAACAAAGGUGUACUUAAAACUCAAGCAGAAAAUACUAACAAGGCUGCCAAAAAAUUUAUGGAAG